This 28-nucleotide non-coding RNA is filed under the name Homo sapiens (human). The record is from RNAcentral. Lineage: Eukaryota; Metazoa; Chordata; Mammalia; Primates; Hominidae.
GUGAAGUUUAAUGUUGCCAAUGGAGGUC